CCUACGGGGGGCUGCAGUCGAGAAUCUUCGGCAAUGGGCGAAAGCCUGACCGAGCAAUGCCGCGUGCGGGAUGAAGGCCCUCGGGUUGUAAACCGCGAAAGUAAGGAGGAAGGACCUGCGAAGAGCAGGUUUUGACCGAUCUACAGUAAGGACGGGCUAAGUUCGUGCCAGCAGCCGCGGUAACACGAACCGUCCAAACGUUAUUCGGAAUUAUUGGGCUUAAAGGGUGCGUAGGCGGCGCUUUAAGUCGGGUGUGAAAUCCUUCGGCUCAACCG
Molecule: ribosomal RNA, 275 nt
Filed under: uncultured bacterium
Lineage: Bacteria
Description: partial 16S ribosomal RNA
Rfam family: Bacterial small subunit ribosomal RNA
Source: RNAcentral